GCCGGGCAUGGUGACUCAUGCCUGUAAUCCCAACACUUUGGGAGGCUGAGGCAGGCGGAUCACCUGAGGUCGGGAGUUCAAGACCAGCCUGACCAACAUGGAGAAACCCUGUCUCUA
This 117-nucleotide non-coding RNA is filed under the name Homo sapiens (human). Lineage: Eukaryota; Metazoa; Chordata; Mammalia; Primates; Hominidae. The record is from Rfam by way of RNAcentral.